Vitis riparia (riverbank grape) is the source of this 400-nucleotide long non-coding RNA. RefSeq lists it as uncharacterized. The transcript has 2 exons. Lineage: Eukaryota; Viridiplantae; Streptophyta; Magnoliopsida; Vitales; Vitaceae. The record is from RefSeq and is a predicted model, not a curated record.
CAUCCCCCGUGACCCGUGUGAUAAGUUAGGGUUUGCCCGGUUUUGAAGCAGAAGCUAGGGUUUGAUCACCAUGAGGGCCAAGUGGAAGAAGAAGCGCAUGAGGAGGUUGAAGAGGAAGCGCCGAAAGAUGAGGCAGAGAUCCAAGUAGAACCAUCUUGUGGUUUUCAUGUUCUAGGGUUUUGGUUACAUUUCUAGCUUCUGUAAACGAACCAGUUGUUGGAUUUGGUUAUUAGUUUUGUGUUUUAUGUGAUUUACUUGACCUCCGUUUGGUUCUUGGGAAAAAAAUGGAAGAAAAAGAAAAUGCUUAGAAGGCUGCUCGAUUGAGUGUUAUAAGAAUUUUCUAUAUUUUUCUAAAAAAAACCUGGAAUGGAACUGGAUGCGAGUAGAUUUUGGUUGUUUU